This 264-nucleotide ribosomal RNA is filed under the name Escherichia coli. RNAcentral describes it as "partial 16S ribosomal RNA". It matches the Rfam family "Bacterial small subunit ribosomal RNA", at positions 108 to 375 of the family's 1533-position model. Lineage: Bacteria; Pseudomonadati; Pseudomonadota; Gammaproteobacteria; Enterobacterales; Enterobacteriaceae. The record is from RNAcentral.
GAGUAAUGUCUGGGAAACUGCCUGAUGGAGGGGGAUAACUACUGGAAACGGUAGCUAAUACCGCAUAACGUCGCAAGACCAAAGAGGGGGACCUUCGGGCCUCUUGCCAUCGGAUGUGCCCAGAUGGGAUUAGCUAGUAGGUGGGGUAACGGCUCACCUAGGCGACGAUCCCUAGCUGGUCUGAGAGGAUGACCAGCCACACUGGAACUGAGACACGGUCCAGACUCCUACGGGAGGCAGCAGUGGGGAAUAUUGCACAAUGGG